GAUUCCAUAGUGUAAUGGUUUGCACUCUGGACUUUGAAUCCAGUGAUUCAAGCUCAAAUCUUGGUGGAACUG
Non-coding RNA from Danio rerio (zebrafish), 72 nucleotides. NCBI's taxonomy places the organism in Eukaryota, Metazoa, Chordata, Actinopteri, Cypriniformes, Danionidae. The record is from Rfam.